GCCGAGGUAGCUCAAUUGGCAGAGCAGCGGCUUUGUAAGCCGCGGGUUGGAGGUUCGAGUCCUCUCCUCGGCU
This 73-nucleotide transfer RNA is filed under the name Candidatus Nealsoniibacteriota bacterium. RNAcentral describes it as "Candidatus Nealsonbacteria bacterium tRNA-Thr". It matches the Rfam family "tRNA". From Rfam's summary of the family: Transfer RNA (tRNA) molecules are approximately 80 nucleotides in length. Their secondary structure includes four short double-helical elements and three loops (D, anti-codon, and T loops). Lineage: Bacteria; Candidatus Nealsoniibacteriota. RNAcentral also lists the same sequence under 1 other name. The record is from RNAcentral.